AAUAAAGUAUUUACAUGUCCUUGAUAGCGUCUGCUGUGUUGGGUCUGUCUCAGUGACAGUCUGAAACUGCUGCUGUCUUCUACGCUGAUCAAAACAAUGGUGUCUUCUGCUCUG
This is a long non-coding RNA of Hippocampus comes (tiger tail seahorse), 114 nucleotides long. RefSeq lists it as uncharacterized. Lineage: Eukaryota; Metazoa; Chordata; Actinopteri; Syngnathiformes; Syngnathidae. The transcript is spliced from 3 exons. The record is from RefSeq and is a predicted model, not a curated record.